ACACCUCAACUCUCGUGGUCUUCCACGACGAGCUUGGACUUUGGAGGUUUGCUGGCCCUGCGGCCGGCUUCUCUCAAAUGAAUCAGCUUGCCAGUGUUUGGUGGCAUCACGGGUGUGAUAACUAUCUACGCUCGCGGUCGUCUGCCAGGUUACCUUCAGCGAUGAAGGUUCAUUGGGGCUCACAAACGUCUCUCCUCAGCGAAGACAACUUUUGAAC
RNAcentral lists this unclassified non-coding RNA (217 nucleotides) under uncultured Tomentella. Its description in RNAcentral is "sequence contains ITS2". Lineage: Eukaryota; Fungi; Basidiomycota; Agaricomycetes; Thelephorales; Thelephoraceae. The record is from RNAcentral.